This 360-nucleotide ribosomal RNA is filed under the name Aeromonas veronii. RNAcentral describes it as "bacterial SSU rRNA". It matches the Rfam family "Bacterial small subunit ribosomal RNA", at positions 75 to 434 of the family's 1533-position model. Lineage: Bacteria; Pseudomonadati; Pseudomonadota; Gammaproteobacteria; Aeromonadales; Aeromonadaceae. The record is from RNAcentral.
GUAGCUUGCUACUUUUGCCGGCGAGCGGCGGACGGGUGAGUAAUGCCUGGGGAUCUGCCCAGUCGAGGGGGAUAACUACUGGAAACGGUAGCUAAUACCGCAUACGCCCUACGGGGGAAAGCAGGGGACCUUCGGGCCUUGCGCGAUUGGAUGAACCCAGGUGGGAUUAGCUAGUUGGUGAGGUAAUGGCUCACCAAGGCGACGAUCCCUAGCUGGUCUGAGAGGAUGAUCAGCCACACUGGAACUGAGACACGGUCCAGACUCCUACGGGAGGCAGCAGUGGGGAAUAUUGCACAAUGGGGGAAACCCUGAUGCAGCCAUGCCGCGUGUGUGAAGAAGGCCUUCGGGUUGUAAAGCACU